CCUACGGGAGACUGCAGUCGAGAAUCAUUCACAAUGGGGGAAACCCUGAUGGUGCGACGCCGCGUGGGGGAAUGAAGGUCUUCGGAUUGUAAACCCCUGUCAUGUGGGAGCAAAUUAAAAAGAUAGUACCACAAGAGGAAGCGACGGCUAACUCUGUGCCAGCAGCCGCGGUAAUACAGAGGUCUCAAGCGUUGUUCGGAAUCACUGGGCGUAAAGCGUGCGUAGGCUGUUUCGUAAGUCGUGUGUGAAAGGCGAGGGCUCAACCCGCGGACGGCACAUGAUACUGCGGGACUAGAGUAAUGGAGGGGGAACCGGAAUUCUCGGUGUAGCAGUGAAAUGCGUAGAUAUCGAGAGGAACACUCGUGGCGAAGGCGGGUUCCUGGACAUUAACUGACGCUGAGGCACGAAGGCCAGGGGAGCGAAAGGGAUUAGAUACCCUUGUAGUC
This 446-nucleotide ribosomal RNA is filed under the name uncultured bacterium. RNAcentral describes it as "partial 16S ribosomal RNA". It matches the Rfam family "Bacterial small subunit ribosomal RNA", at positions 338 to 795 of the family's 1533-position model. The record is from RNAcentral.